RNAcentral lists this long non-coding RNA (206 nucleotides) under Fukomys damarensis (Damara mole-rat). Its description in RNAcentral is "lncRNA (ENSFDAG00000029236.1)". The record is from RNAcentral. Lineage: Eukaryota; Metazoa; Chordata; Mammalia; Rodentia; Bathyergidae.
GGAGGAUCUGUACUAAGCCCCCCAGAGCUGCGGGUCUGGGCGCCUCUCUUUCCCCAAUUGGGCCUCCGCUUCUUACAAGAGCUGUCAGAGCCUCAGCUUAGAGCUAUGCUUCCUGCUCUUCCGGGAACCACUGUCACACCUGCUCAGCUGUCCUUGGAGGAACUCUGCUCCUUGCACCCUCUGCUGCCUGGCCUCAGCCCCCGGAC